GAUGAAGAACGUAGCGAAAUGCGAUAAGUAAUGUGAAUUGCAGAAUUCAGUGAAUCAUCGAAUCUUUGAACGCACCUUGCACCCUUUGGCUAUUCCGAAGGGUAUGCCUGUUUGAGUAUCAUGAACACCUCAACUCUCAUGGUUUGCCAUGAUGAGCUUGGACUUUGGGGGUCUUGCUGGCCUGUGGUCAGCUCCUCUCAAAUGGAUUAGCUUGCCAGUGUUUGGUGGCAUCACAGGUGUGAUAACUAUCUACGCUUGUGGUUUUCCACCAGGUAACCUUCAGCAAUGGGGGUUCGCUGGGGCUCAUAAAUGUCUCUCCUCAGUGAGGACAGCUCUUUGAACGUUUGAUCUCAAAUCAGGUAGGACUACCCGCUGAACUUAAGCAUAUCAAUAAGCGGAGGA
Molecule: unclassified non-coding RNA, 402 nt
Filed under: soil metagenome
Description: partial contains 5.8S ribosomal RNA, internal transcribed spacer 2, and large subunit ribosomal RNA
Rfam family: 5.8S ribosomal RNA (bases 1-121)
Source: RNAcentral